RNAcentral lists this ribosomal RNA (500 nucleotides) under uncultured bacterium. RNAcentral describes it as "partial 16S ribosomal RNA". It matches the Rfam family "Bacterial small subunit ribosomal RNA", at positions 30 to 523 of the family's 1533-position model. The record is from RNAcentral.
AUUGAACGCUGGCGGCAUGCCUUACACAUGCAAGUCGAACGGCAGCACGGAGCUUGCUCUGGUGGCGAGUGGCGAACGGGUGAGUAAUAUAUCGGAACGUACCCAAGAGUGGGGGAUAACGUAGCGGAAGUUACGCUAAUACCGCAUACGAUCUAAGGAUGAAAGUGGGGGCUCGCAAGACCUCAUGCUCCUGGAGCGGCCGAUAUCUGAUUAGCUAGUUGGUGAGGUAAAGGCUCACCAAGGCAUCGAUCAGUAGCUGGUCUGAGAGGACGAGCAGCCACACUGGAACUGAGACACGGUCCAGACUCCUACGGGAGGCAGCAGUGGGGAAUUUUGGACAAUGGGGGCAUCCCUGAUCCAGCAAUGCCGCGUGAGUGAAGAAGGCCUUCGGGUUGUAAAGCUCUUUUGUCAGGGAAGAAACGGUGAAGGCUAAUAUCCUUUGCUAAUGACGGUACCUGAAGAAUAAGCACCGGCUAACUACGUGCCAGCCGCCGCAGUAA